GACGAACGCUGGCGGCGUGCUUAACACAUGCAAGUCGAACGGAAAGGCCCUGCUUUUGUGGGGUGCUCGAGUGGCGAACGGGUGAGUAACACGUGAGUAACCUGCCCUUGAAUUUGGGAUAACUUCAGGAAACUGGGGCUAAUACCGGAUAGGAGCUCCUGCUGCAUGGUGGGGGUUGGAAAGUUUCGGCGGUUGGGGAUGGACUAGCGGGUUAUCAGCUUGUUGGUGGGGUAGUGGCUUACAAAGGCUAUGACGGGUAGCCGGCCUGGGAGGUGGACCGGCCACAUUGGGACUGAGAUACGGCCCAGACUCCUACGGGAGGCAGCAGUGGAGAAUAUUGCACAAUGGGCGGAAGCCUGAUGCAGCAACGCCGCGUGCGGGAUGACGGGCUUCGGGUUGUAAACCGCUUUCGCCUGUGACGAAGCGUGAGUGACGGUAAUGAGUAAAGAAGCACCGGCUAACUACGUG
This 468-nucleotide ribosomal RNA is filed under the name uncultured bacterium. Its description in RNAcentral is "partial 16S ribosomal RNA". It matches the Rfam family "Bacterial small subunit ribosomal RNA", at positions 28 to 507 of the family's 1533-position model. The record is from RNAcentral.